UUUGUCGAAAAAUUGUGGUUUUCUAUCGCGAUUUUUCACUCUGAAAAUUUCGAUUUUUGGAAGGUACGUUUUUAUAAUUGUUUUAUUUGUGACCUUAGUUGCACGAUUUUUGUUUUAUGUGGUUGUCGUAUCAUGUUUCAGUUAUGUUAAUCACGCAUUGAAUUAACCUUAGCUUCGGGUCAGCAGAGUUGUAACGAGUCACCUAUAGGUCGAGUCACGAGUCGAGUCACUCAAAGGUCGAGUCACGAGUCGAGUCAUUUCGGUUUCUGAUCGAGUCGAGUCGGGUCAGUGGCUUCACUCGAGUCGAGUCGAGUCGAGUCAGCAGUUUCACUCGAAUCAAGUCGAGUCAUUGGUUUAAGUCGAGUCGAGUCAAUAGCUAGACUUAACUUGAGUCAGGGAAUUUGAUCAAGUCCACCCACAUCCUUGUCCCCAGGGCCUCUCGGCCACGCGCGUCCUCCCUAGGCCCUGGAACAUAAGAAACUGGAAGUACAAGUAAACUUGCAGUAGUUUCUAAAGCGCAUGGUCUUGAAUUGGGACACUUUAGCACCCGUAACAAUUUUCAAAGUGAAGUAUUACGAAGAAACGAAGUAUUUGCGUUGACAUAUAUGUUGAUAGAAUAAUUUUUCCUAGCUAAAACUGCUCAACUUCUGCGAAAUAGGAUUUCUCUGAGAAGCCAAUCAGAUCUCUCGCUUUAGUCGCCUAACCCACAGCCUACUUUUCAACGAGUGACCGAGUGAAAAUGGCUCUGGGGACGAGAAUGGUCCACCUCACGCUUUUUGUAAUGGUUCGCUACCUUAGCUUGCAGUUUGAAAUUAGUAAUCAAAUCUACGUUUUAAGCUAAUCACUUUAGUCAUGUAAUAACAGUAUCUGGGCAGCCAUAGGCUGUACCAAUAUCACAGUUCUAGUCAAUAUUAAGUACAACCACAUGAGAUGUCUCAUCAUGCCUGCUGAUCGAGUGUACGUAUAUACAACUAGCAUAACUUGCAACUGGAGUCAGAAUUAACAAAGAAUAUACUUUAAUUAACCAUGCUUUGUAAGUUAAUUUGAAAUUAUAUAGCACUUCAUAAAUACCAAAAAUGAAGAUAGCCGGUCAGAAUUAGCAUAAGUACAAAAAAUUUUGAGACUCCAUUUUAAAAACUGUGGCACUAGCGUUGUUUCUAAAAACAGAAAUGUAAUAUAGGCAUGCCCGUCAGGAAUAUACUGUAUUCUUUGCAAAUCCCAUAUAUUUUCUGAUAAAGUUUCGAAGUUCUCAUUAUUCACAGGGCUCAUUGUUCUUCCCAAGCAAUACAAUCACAAUAUUUUUGAUGAAUUUAUUCUCUACAAGUUGUAGCUGAGUUGACUCGAGUCUUUCACGACAAAAUCAGCAAGUCGAGUCCGAGUCGAGUCAUUUUGGGCUGUUGACUCGAGUCGAGUCGAGUCAUUUUUCGUUUUGGACUCGAGUGGCUGAAAAUAGCAACCCGAGUCGACUCGAGUCCGAGUCAAUGACUCGACUCGUUACAACACUGCGGGUCAGUGCUCAUGCUACAAAAGUGGCUUUGAUAUUCGCCGGGGGUUAAUUUAAUACUUUUUAAAGCAGGAAAUUCAACAAAAUUUACAGCAUCGAAUUCAGGAAGGGUUAUUCUUUCUAUUGAUACUUCAAAACACAAAUAACCCCCUCGAACUGACGAGUUAUCGCGGUUUGAAAAUGGGGUAUAUUUCGGGGCUAUAAAAGAAAUGGCAUUGAUAUACGCCGGGGGUUAAAUAGUUUAUAAAUCGGGAAAUUCAGCAAAAUUCACAUCAUUGAAUUCGGGGAGGGUCACGGUUCUAGCUGAUACUUUAAAACAUUAAUAAUCUCCUCCAACCGACGAGUUAUCGCGGUUUGAAAAUGGGGGUAUAUUCCGGGUAUAGUGCCAUGACACGAAAACGGCUUUGAUAUACGCAGGGGGUUAUUAGGUUUAUAAAUCGAGAAAUUCAAUAAAAUUCACAUUGUAUUCAGUAAGGGUUACUCUUUCUAUUGGUACCUUAAAACAUUCCCCUGAAACCGACGAGUAAUCGUUGUUUGAAAAUGGGGUAUUUUUGCUUUUGUUGUCACCAAUCGCGGGAAAAGAGAAAAUAUGGCGCGAAUGCGACGUAAACAAGCCAGCUUUUCUAAUGUAUUGUUCCUGAUUGUAUCAUUUGUUUUUGUAGAAUUCGAGUUUAUUGGAGCAAAAAAUGGAAUCUAUUAAUAAUGAUGGCGAUGUUGGCAUUGUUGAUCAUGAGUUAGAAAAUGAGGAAACUCAAAUUACGCCAGGAAAAUAUCUCGUGUGGAAAGUUCAUCAUUCAGUCGAGCUUUGUUUCAACGUCGUGGCACAUCAGCAAAGGUAUAAUAAAAACAAUUAUGGUAGACGAAAUUGUACUUAAAACUUUGUUAUUCUUUGCUAUUCUAUUCUUAUAAGUUGUCUUUGUAUAUUCAGUGUAAAGCUGGAGUAAAUAUGAGCAACAAAAUUGCUGCAACUUGCAACUAAAAAUCUGAUUUCAACGCAUGUUAAGUAGAAAUGUUGACACAUGUUGCCUCGUGAUUUGUAUUAACUUAUAUGCAUGUCAACAUUUCCACUUAACAUCCGUUGAAAUCAGAUUUUGUUGCAAGUUGCAGCAAUUUUGUUGACCGUAUUACUCCACCUUAAUACCUCUGUGUAACAUUAUUCUGCAGUGUAACAUUAUGAUUCGUGUAUGAUUAUUCAUAUGUCAUCUGUGACUCAAUUUCAUUUUAAGGACCUGUCACACUAUUGCAUAUCGUACUAGCGUAUGCCAGCGUAUGAAAAAUAUCACUCAUACGCCGGUAUACGCUCACAUACGCUAGGGGUACGUUAGGCAUAGGUUGUAUACGUUUCAAGCACGGUCGCAUACGGUGGCAUACGCUGGCAUACGGCGAGGCAGAAUUUUUUUUAAGCAUGUUCAAAAAUUUUGUGCGUAUCGGACGUAUGGCUUUAUACGAUAAGCAUACUCUAGGCACACGCUGAAUACGCUAGAGGUACGCCAGAUGUACGGUACUCAUACGCUGGCAUUUCAAAGGAUUUUUGUGCGUAUGAAAAUUAUUUCCUUAAUUUUCAUACGCUUCUCAUACGUUUCUCUCGUACGCAAUAGUGUGACAGGGCCUUUAGUAAAUGACAUACUUUUUUGUAGUUUCCUAGCAGAAAGAUCAGGCUGACCCUUUCAAAGAAGUCACCAUGCAGUGAGAAAAACAUAAAUGGACCUUUGAGGAAAAUAAAGCUUUGAUCGAGUUUAUAUAUAUUGCCAAA
This 3257-nucleotide long non-coding RNA is filed under the name Paramuricea clavata. The record is from RNAcentral. Lineage: Eukaryota; Metazoa; Cnidaria; Anthozoa; Malacalcyonacea; Plexauridae.